Unclassified non-coding RNA from Callithrix jacchus (white-tufted-ear marmoset), 295 nucleotides. It matches the Rfam family "Metazoan signal recognition particle RNA". Rfam says of the family: The signal recognition particle (SRP) is a universally conserved ribonucleoprotein. NCBI's taxonomy places the organism in Eukaryota, Metazoa, Chordata, Mammalia, Primates, Cebidae. The record is from Ensembl.
GCUGGGCAUGGUGGCACGUGCCUGUAGUCCCAGAUACUCGGGAGGCUGAGGCUGGAGGACUGCUUGAGCACAGGAGUUCUGGGCCAUAGUGCCCUAUGCCAAUCAGGUGUCCACACUAAGUUCAGCAUGAAUAUGGUGACCUCCUGGGAGCGGGGGACAACCAGGUUGCCUAAGGAGGGGUGAACCAGCCCAGGUUGGAAACGGAGCAGGUCAAAACUCCCGUGCUCAUCAGCAGUGGGAUCGUGGCUGUGAAUAACCACUGCACUCCAGCCUGGGCAACAUAGUGAGACCCGUU